GGUCAAGCGACGCGCCAGUGUCCGAUCACCCGUUCCCGAUGCUCUUUACUGAGUGUCGAGGCGGGCCGGCACGUUUACUUUGAAUCAAACUGGGUGCUCAAGGCAGGCAAAUUAAUUUACCGCCCGAAAGAACUUGCAUGGAAUAAUGGAAUAGGACCUCGGUUCUAUUUUGUUGGUUUUCGGAACCCCGAGGUAAUGAUAAAUGGGGACUGACGGGGGCAUUAGUAUUGCGGCGUUAGAGGUGAAAUUCUUGGAUCGUCGCAAGACUACCUAAAGCGAAAGCAUUUGCCAAGGAUGUUUUCAUUAAUCAAGAACGAAAGUUAGAGGUUCGAAGGCGAUCAGAUACCGCCCUAGUUCUAACCAUAAACGAUGCCAGCCAGCGAUCCGCGGUGGUUCGUUUGAAAUGACCCCGCGGGCAGCCUCCGGGAAACCAGAGCUUUUGGGUUCCGGGGGUAGUAUGGUUGCAAAG
RNAcentral lists this ribosomal RNA (469 nucleotides) under Liposcelis decolor. RNAcentral's name for it is "bacterial SSU rRNA". It matches the Rfam family "Eukaryotic small subunit ribosomal RNA", at positions 675 to 1136 of the family's 1831-position model. Lineage: Eukaryota; Metazoa; Arthropoda; Insecta; Psocodea; Liposcelididae. The record is from RNAcentral.